UGGGGAAUAUUGCGCAAUGGGCGAAAGCCUGACGCAGCGACGCCGCGUGGGUGAGGAAGGCCUUCGGGUCGUAAAGCCCUGUCAAAGGGGAAGAAGCAAGUGACGGUACCCUUAAAGGAAGCACCGGCUAACUCCGUGCCAGCAGCCGCGGUAAUACGGAGGGUGCAAGCGUUGUUCGGAAUCAUUGGGCGUAAAGCGAGUGUAGGCGGUAUAUUAAGUCAGAGGUGAAAGCCCUGGGCUCAACCCGGGAAGUGCCUUUGAUACUGGUAUACUUGAGUACGGGAGAGGGUAGCGGAAUUCCAAGUGUAGAGGUGAAAUUCGUAGAUAUUUGGAGGAACACCGGUGGCGAAGGCGGCUACCUGGACCGAUACUGACGCUGAGACUCGAAAGCGUGGGGAGCAAACA
RNAcentral lists this ribosomal RNA (405 nucleotides) under uncultured bacterium. RNAcentral describes it as "bacterial SSU rRNA". It matches the Rfam family "Bacterial small subunit ribosomal RNA", at positions 355 to 774 of the family's 1533-position model. The record is from RNAcentral.